GAUUAAAGAACAACGCGCAACCAGCGCCAUACGGCGCUCCUCAGGGUGACUCGGCUCUCUAGCUCUUAAGGGUUAGAAGCGACCCUCGCACGGUCCCCGGUGGGUCACCGCGCGAGGGCGGGGCAGUCCAGGCGACCCCUCGGCCGUCUCCCGUCCUACGGCUGUCAGGGAAGGGCUCCGGUUCCGGUAGGGUCUGCAUUUGGAAAGCCGGGGGCGAUGCAAGACCGCCUUGGCGUCGUCUCCCUCUCAGCCCCGGCUGAGCUGUCGGAUGGUCCCCCUCCCCCGGUUGCAAGCAGUAGGAGACCCGGCCGGCGGCGCCGGCUCGCCGAGGGAGCGCCUCGACCUCCCCGGCAGGCGCCGGCCCCGCGCGCCUCUUCCUGCUCUGCUGCGGCCCGGAGGCUUGUGGGUAACCGGGAGGACGACGUCAGCGCCCGCCGCAUCCCCGGGUGCCCCCCAGCCGCGGGGGACCGCGACGGCUCCGUGACCGUCACGUGCCGGAGGCCGCGGCUGCUCGCGGCCAGACCUUCGCAUCGAGGGACGUGAGGGACAUUUGUCCUAGAGGGCCCAAGAUAAGAACGAGAGGAAGAACCGGGAGGCAACUCUCCGUCAUCCUCUAGCCCCCCGCAUCCUAGGAAACGUAUGGAAAACAAUGGAAGGUUAAGUGUGUGCACAGUGAUCUGGCCCUGCAGGAGUGUGCCGACCAGGUGAUAUUUCCUGGGGCCUGGUGAUAAGGAUUUGGAAGGUUACAGCACAGAGACGUGAACGUAAAAAGGAAACAGAGGCAGCAAGCAAAUGAGGAAACCGAUACUCUGUUCUGAGAAUAAAGCCAUUUUACCGC
Molecule: long non-coding RNA, 838 nt
Filed under: Homo sapiens (human)
Lineage: Eukaryota; Metazoa; Chordata; Mammalia; Primates; Hominidae
Description: HSALNT0346253
Source: RNAcentral